GACACGACUCUCGGCAAUGG
This 20-nucleotide ribosomal RNA is filed under the name Angraecopsis parviflora. RNAcentral describes it as "partial 5.8S ribosomal RNA". Lineage: Eukaryota; Viridiplantae; Streptophyta; Magnoliopsida; Asparagales; Orchidaceae. The record is from RNAcentral.